GCGGGCGUGGCGGAACUGGUAGACGCGCUUGGUUUAGGUCCAAGUAUCGCAAGAUGUGGGGGUUCGAGUCCCUCCGCCCGCACCA
Molecule: transfer RNA, 85 nt
Filed under: Citromicrobium sp.
Lineage: Bacteria; Pseudomonadati; Pseudomonadota; Alphaproteobacteria; Sphingomonadales; Sphingomonadaceae
Description: tRNA-Leu
Rfam family: tRNA
About the family: Transfer RNA (tRNA) molecules are approximately 80 nucleotides in length. Their secondary structure includes four short double-helical elements and three loops (D, anti-codon, and T loops). Further hydrogen bonds mediate the characteristic L-shaped molecular structure. tRNAs have two regions of fundamental functional importance: the anti-codon, which is responsible for specific mRNA codon recognition, and the 3' end, to which the tRNAs corresponding amino acid is attached (by aminoacyl-tRNA synthetases). tRNAs cope with the degeneracy of the genetic code in two manners: having more than one tRNA (with a specific anti-codon) for a particular amino acid; and 'wobble' base-pairing, i.e. permitting non-standard base-pairing at the 3rd anti-codon position.
Source: RNAcentral